This 68-nucleotide transfer RNA is filed under the name Stichophanes ningshaanensis (Ningshaan kukri snake). Its description in RNAcentral is "tRNA-Ser". It matches the Rfam family "tRNA". From Rfam's summary of the family: Transfer RNA (tRNA) molecules are approximately 80 nucleotides in length. Their secondary structure includes four short double-helical elements and three loops (D, anti-codon, and T loops). Lineage: Eukaryota; Metazoa; Chordata; Lepidosauria; Squamata; Colubridae. The record is from RNAcentral.
GGGAAGAAAGCAUAAAUAUGCGAUUAACUUGAAAUUAAUAGAUGGCAGCUCAAUCCUGUCUUUUCUCG